This 66-nucleotide transfer RNA is filed under the name Aphaenomurus interpositus. RNAcentral's name for it is "tRNA-His". The record is from RNAcentral. Lineage: Eukaryota; Metazoa; Arthropoda; Collembola; Entomobryomorpha; Tomoceridae.
AUCUAUUUAGUUUAAAAAAAAUUUAAAUUUGUGGAGUUUAAGAUAAUAUUCAUUUAUUUUUAGAUA